UACGUAGGGACCAAGCGUUGUUCGGAUUUACUGGGCGUAAAGGGCGCGUAGGCGGCGUGGUAAGUCACUUGUGAAAUCUCUGAGCUUAACUCAGAACGGCCAAGUGAUACUGUCGGACUAGAGUACAGAAGGGGCAACUGGAAUUCUCGGUGUAGCGGUGAAAUGCGUAGAUAUCGAGAGGAACACCUGCGGCGAAGGCGGGUUGCUGGGCUGAUACUGACGCUGAGGCGCGAAAGCCAGGGGAGCGAACGGG
Molecule: ribosomal RNA, 253 nt
Filed under: uncultured bacterium
Lineage: Bacteria
Description: partial 16S ribosomal RNA
Rfam family: Bacterial small subunit ribosomal RNA
Source: RNAcentral